GGCAAGGGAGGGGGGCUUGAUCUCUGGAGUAGGAGACAGGAGGAGCGGGCAAGAGAGGAGACUGUGUAUCACUGUGAGAGGAAGCAUCUCAGCCUGAGGCAGUGGACUGUGCUGUGGAAAAACGAGAGGGACCAGAGCUUUGGAGAAUCGCUUUCCUAUUACCUCCCUUAAGGUCAGCUGCUUCUCUAAAUCUGCCCCCAGGCAUUCUGUGGUGUGGUCACCAUCAUGCUGCCAUCACCCCACCAUAUUUGGGCUCUAGUUCUUCUGGGAACAUGCUGCUACCCGUGUCACUUCCAGGGAUCCCCAAAUUUGUCAUCUUAUGUCAAGACAGAGGACAGGUUAUUUCGGCACCUCUUCAACAGCUAUCAGAAGUGGGUUAGACCAGUGAAGUACCUCAAUGGCACAGUGCGAGUCAUAUUUGGACUAGCAAUCUCCCAGCUGGUGGAUGUGGAUGAGAAGAACCAGCUGAUGACAACAAAUGUAUGGAUGAAACAGGAAUGGGUUGACGUGAAACUACGGUGGGACCCCAAUGAGUACCAAGGAAUUAAUACCAUCCGUGUCCCCUCUGACACCAUCUGGACCCCUGACAUUGUUCUGUAUGACAAGUAUGGGCUGCUGAGCAUCACAAAUGCAACUUCAUUUAUUUACUGCUGUAGCAAAAUAACAAUUACAGUUCCAGAUCCUGAGCUGUAACCAUAGAAGAGAAAAAUAAUCCAAUGAAAUAUGUGUCUUUAAAGAACUGAAGCAUGCAUAACAUGUUGCAGAUCCAGAGCUCAACUUCUGAGAGGAUCUUUUUCGUCUCACAGUGCAGAUGGUUGUUUUGAAGGCACUUUUACAAAGGCAGUAGUGAAACAUGAUGGAACUGUCUCCUGGACUCGGCCUGCCAACUACAAAUCCACCUGUACUAUAGAUGUCACCUUUUUCCCCU
Molecule: long non-coding RNA, 928 nt
Filed under: Scleropages formosus (Asian bonytongue)
Lineage: Eukaryota; Metazoa; Chordata; Actinopteri; Osteoglossiformes; Osteoglossidae
Description: lncRNA (ENSSFOG00015003897.2)
Source: RNAcentral